AUUGAACGCUGGCGGCAGGCCUAACACAUGCAAGUCGAACGAGUGGCGGACGGGUGAGUAAUGUCUGGGAAACUGCCCGAUGGAGGGGGAUAACUACUGGAAACGGUAGCUAAUACCGCAUACCAUCGGAUGUGCCCAGAUGGGAUUAGCUUGUAGGUGAGGUAACGGCUCACCUAGGCGACGAUCCCUAGCUGGUCUGAGAGGAUGACCAGCCACACUGUACCUGAGCACCGGGCCAGACUCCAACGGGAGGCAGCAUUGGGAAAUAUUGAACAAUGGGCGCAAGCCGGAUGCAGCCAGGCCGCGUGUCUGAAGAAGGCCUUCGGGUUUUAAAGUACUUUCAGCGGGGAGGCUUUACCCGCAGAAGAAGCACCGGCUAACUACGUGCCAGCCGCCGCGGUAAUAC
Molecule: ribosomal RNA, 406 nt
Filed under: uncultured bacterium
Lineage: Bacteria
Description: partial 16S ribosomal RNA
Rfam family: Bacterial small subunit ribosomal RNA
Source: RNAcentral